RNAcentral lists this ribosomal RNA (404 nucleotides) under uncultured bacterium. Its description in RNAcentral is "bacterial SSU rRNA". It matches the Rfam family "Bacterial small subunit ribosomal RNA", at positions 355 to 775 of the family's 1533-position model. The record is from RNAcentral.
UAGGGAAUUUUGGACAAUGGGCGAAAGCCUGAUCCAGCAACGCCGCGUGCGCGAUGAAGGCCUUCGGGUUGUAAAGCGCUUUUAGAGGAGAUGAGAAAGGACAGUAUCCUCUGAAUAAGCCUCGGCGAACUACGUGCCAGCAGCCGCGGUAAAACGUAGGAGGCUAGCGUUAUCCGGAUUUAUUGGGCGUAAAGCGUGUGCAGGCGGUUUAGUAAGUUGGAUGUGAAAGCUCCUGGCUUAACUGGGAGAGGUCGUUCAAAACUGCUAGACUAGAGAAUGGGAGAGGGAGGUGGAAUUCCGGGUGUAGUGGUGAAAUGCGUAGAUAUCCGGAGGAACACCAGUGGCGAAAGCGGCCUCCUAGACCAUUUCUGACGCUAAGACACGAAAGCUAGGGUAGCAAACGG